This 253-nucleotide ribosomal RNA is filed under the name uncultured bacterium. Its description in RNAcentral is "partial 16S ribosomal RNA". It matches the Rfam family "Bacterial small subunit ribosomal RNA", at positions 524 to 776 of the family's 1533-position model. The record is from RNAcentral.
UACGGGGGGAGCAAGCGUUGUUCGGAUUUACUGGCGUAAAGGGCGCGUAGGCGGUCAGCACAAGUCAGUUGUGAAAUCUCCGGGCUUAACUCGGAAAGGUCAACUGAUACUGUGCGACUAGAGUGCAGAAGGGGCAACUGGAAUUCUCGGUGUAGCGGUGAAAUGCGUAGAUAUCGAGAGGAACACCUGCGGCGAAGGCGGGUUGCUGGGCUGACACUGACGCUGAUGCGCGAAAGCCAGGGGAGCGAACGGG